CAGUCGCCGCGGGAAUACGUAGGUGGCAAGCGUUGUCCGGAAUUAUUGGGCGUAAAGGGCUCGCAGGCGGUUUCUUAAGUCUGAUGUGAAAGCCCCCGGCUCAACCGGGGAGGGUCAUUGGAAACUGGGAAACUUGAGUGCAGAAGAGGAGAGUGGAAUUCCACGUGUAGCGGUGAAAUGCGUAGAGAUGCGGAGGAACACCAGUGGCGAAGGCGACUCUCUGGUCUGUAACUGACGCUGAGGAGCGAAAGCGUGGGGAGCGAACAGGAUUAGAUACCCGGGUAGUCCCUGUCUCUUAUAC
RNAcentral lists this ribosomal RNA (301 nucleotides) under uncultured bacterium. RNAcentral describes it as "partial 16S ribosomal RNA". It matches the Rfam family "Bacterial small subunit ribosomal RNA", at positions 509 to 807 of the family's 1533-position model. The record is from RNAcentral.